UGAGGAAUAUUGCACAAUGGGGGAAACCCUGAUGCAGCGACGCCGCGUGGGUGAUGAAGGUUUUCGGAUCGUAAAGCCCUUUUCUGCAUGACGAGCAAAGGACGGUAGUGCAGGAAUAAGUGUCGGCUAACUACGUGCCAGCAGCCGCGGUAAAACGUAGGACACAAGCGUUAUCCGGAAUUACUGGGCGUAAAGGGAGUGCAGGCGGUUGAAUAAGUUAGGCGUGAAAGACUUCGGCUAAACCGGGGGAGGUCGUCUGAUACUGUUCAACUAGAGUAUGGUAGAGGCGUGUAGAAUUCCGGGUGUAGUGGUGAAAUGCGUAGAGAUCCGGAGGAAUACCAGUGGCGAAGGCGGCACGCUGGGCCAUAACUGACGCUAAGACUCGAAAGCAUGGGUAGCGAA
RNAcentral lists this ribosomal RNA (402 nucleotides) under uncultured bacterium. Its description in RNAcentral is "bacterial SSU rRNA". It matches the Rfam family "Bacterial small subunit ribosomal RNA", at positions 355 to 772 of the family's 1533-position model. The record is from RNAcentral.